GACGAACGCUGGCGGCGUGCUUAACGCAUGCAAGUCGAACGGAAAGGCCCUGCUUUUGUGGGGUGCUCGAGUGGCGAACGGGUGAGUAACACGUGAGUAACCUGCCCUUGACUUUGGGAUAACUUCGGGAAACUGGGGCUCAUACCGGAUAGGAGCUCCUGCUGCAUGGUGGGGGUUGGAAAGUUUCGGCGGUUGGGGAUGGACUCGCGGCUUAUCAGCUUGUUGGAGGGGUAGUGGCUUACCAAGGCUUUGACGGGUAGCCGGCCUGGGAGGGUGACCGGCCACAUUGGGACUGAGAUACGGCCCAGACUCCUACGGGAGGCAGCGGUGGGGAAUAUUGCACAAUAGGCGGAAGCCUGAUGCAGCAACGCCGCGUGCGGGAUGACGGCCUUCGGGUUGUAAACCACUUUCGCCUGUGACGAAGCGUGAGUGACGGUAAUGGGUAAAGAAGCACCGGCUAACUACGUG
RNAcentral lists this ribosomal RNA (468 nucleotides) under uncultured bacterium. RNAcentral's name for it is "partial 16S ribosomal RNA". It matches the Rfam family "Bacterial small subunit ribosomal RNA", at positions 28 to 507 of the family's 1533-position model. The record is from RNAcentral.